RNAcentral lists this small nuclear RNA (107 nucleotides) under Peromyscus maniculatus bairdii (prairie deer mouse). The record is from RNAcentral. Lineage: Eukaryota; Metazoa; Chordata; Mammalia; Rodentia; Cricetidae.
AUGCUUGCUUUGGCAGCACAUAUACUAAAAUUGGAAUAAUACAGAGAAGAUUAGCAUGGCCCCUGUGCAAGGAUGACAUGCAAAUUCAUGAAGCAUUCCAUAUUUAA